RNAcentral lists this ribosomal RNA (810 nucleotides) under uncultured bacterium. RNAcentral's name for it is "bacterial SSU rRNA". It matches the Rfam family "Bacterial small subunit ribosomal RNA", at positions 8 to 796 of the family's 1533-position model. The record is from RNAcentral.
AGAGUUUGAUCAUGGCUCAGAACGAACGCUGGCGGCGUGCUUAACACAUGCAAGUCGAACGCGAAAGGGACUUCGGUCCUGAGUAAAGUGGCGCACGGGUGAGUAACGCGUGGAUAAUCUACCCAAUGAUCUGGGAUAACAUUUCGAAAGGGGUGCUAAUACCGGAUAAGACCACGGAGUCUCUGGGCUCUGCGGUAAAAGGUGGGGACCUUCGGGCCUACCGUCAUCGGAUGAGUCCGCGUACCAUUAGCUAGUUGGUGGGGUAAUGGCCUACCAAGGCUACGAUGGUUAGCUGGUCUGAGAGGAUGAUCAGCCACACUGGAACUGAGACACGGUCCAGACUCCUACGGGAGGCAGCAGUGGGGAACUUUGCGCAAUGGGGGAAACCCUGACGCAGCAACGCCGCGUGAGUGAUGAAGGCUUUCGGGUCGUAAAGCUCUGUCAGAGGGGAAGAAAUGUAUAGGUGCCAAUACCACUUAUACUUGACGGUACCCUCAAAGGAAGCACCGGCUAACUCCGUGCCAGCAGCCGCGGUAAUACGGAGGGUGCGAGCGUUGUUCGGAAUUAUUGGGCGUAAAGCGCGUGUAGGCGGUCUUUUAAGUCUGAUGUGAAAGCCCUGGGCUCAACCCAGGAAGUGCAUUGGAUACUGGAAGACUUGAAUACGGGAGAGGGUAGUGGAAUUCCUAGUGUAGGAGUGAAAUCCGUAGAUAUUAGGAGGAACACCGGUGGCGAAGGCGGCUACCUGGACCGAUAUUGACGCUGAGACGCGAAAGCGUGGGGAGCAAACAGGAUUAGAUACCCUAGUAGUCC